GAUGAACGCUGGCGGCGUGCUUAAUACAUGCAAGUCGAGCGAACGGACGAGAAGCUUGCUUCUCUGACGUUAGCGGCUGACGGGUGAGUAACACGUGGAUAACCUACCUAUAAGACUGGGAUAACUUCGGGAAACUGGCGCUAAUACCGGAUAAUAUUUUGAACCGCAUGGUUCAAAAGUGAAAGACGGUCUUGCUGUCACUUCUAGAUGGAUCCGCGCUGCAUUAGCUAGUUGGUAAGGUAACGGCUUACCAAGGCAACGAUGCAUAGCCGACAUGAGAGGGUGGUCGGCCACACGGGAACUGAGACACGGUGCAGACUCCUACGGGAGGCAGCAGUAGGGAAUCUUCCGCAAUGGGCGAAAGCCUGACGGAGCAACGCGGCGGGAGUGAUGAAGGUCUUCGGGUCGUAAAACUCUGUUAUUAGGGAAGAACAUAUGUGUAAGUAACUGUGCACAUCUUGACGGUACCUAAUCAGAAAGCCACGGCUAACUACGUG
RNAcentral lists this ribosomal RNA (497 nucleotides) under uncultured bacterium. Its description in RNAcentral is "partial 16S ribosomal RNA". It matches the Rfam family "Bacterial small subunit ribosomal RNA", at positions 28 to 507 of the family's 1533-position model. The record is from RNAcentral.